GAGGAUAUAGCUUAAUGGUAGAGUGCAUGCUUAGCAUGCACAAGGUCCUGGGUUCAAUCCCCAGUACCCCUG
This 72-nucleotide transfer RNA is filed under the name Camelus bactrianus (Bactrian camel). It matches the Rfam family "tRNA". Rfam says of the family: Transfer RNA (tRNA) molecules are approximately 80 nucleotides in length. Their secondary structure includes four short double-helical elements and three loops (D, anti-codon, and T loops). RNAcentral also lists the same sequence under 2 other names. The record is from Rfam by way of RNAcentral. Lineage: Eukaryota; Metazoa; Chordata; Mammalia; Artiodactyla; Camelidae.